CCUACGGGCGGCAGCAGUGGGGAAUAUUGCACAAUGGGCGCAAGCCUGAUGCAGCCAUGCCGCGUGUGUGAAGAAGGCCUUCGGGUUGUAAAGCACUUUCAGCGGGGAGGAAGGCGUUAAGGUUAAUAACCUUGUCGAUUGACGUUACCCGCAGAAGAAGCACCGGCUAACUCCGUGCCAGCAGCCGCGGUAAUACGGAGGGUGCAAGCGUUAAUCGGAAUUACUGGGCGUAAAGCGCACGCAGGCGGUCUGUCAAGUCGGAUGUGGAAUCCCCGGGCUCAACCUGGGAGCUGCAUUCGAAACUGGCAGGCUAGAGUCUUGUAGAGGGGGGUAGAAUUCCAGGUGUAGCGGUGAAAUGCGUAGAGAUCUGGAGGAAUACCGGUGGCGAAGGCGGCCCCCUGGACAAAGACUGACGCUCAGGUGCGAAAGCGUGGGGAGCAAACAGGAUUAGAUACCCUUGUAGUC
RNAcentral lists this ribosomal RNA (465 nucleotides) under uncultured Klebsiella sp. RNAcentral's name for it is "bacterial SSU rRNA". It matches the Rfam family "Bacterial small subunit ribosomal RNA", at positions 338 to 795 of the family's 1533-position model. Lineage: Bacteria; Pseudomonadati; Pseudomonadota; Gammaproteobacteria; Enterobacterales; Enterobacteriaceae. The record is from RNAcentral.